RNAcentral lists this ribosomal RNA (494 nucleotides) under uncultured bacterium. Its description in RNAcentral is "partial 16S ribosomal RNA". It matches the Rfam family "Bacterial small subunit ribosomal RNA", at positions 28 to 507 of the family's 1533-position model. The record is from RNAcentral.
GACGAACGCUGGCGGCGCGCUUAACACAUGCAAGUCGAACGGAAAGGCCUGCUUUCCCUUGUGGAUUGCGGGUACUCGAGUGGCGAACGGGUGAGUAACACGUGAGUGAUCUGCCCCCAACUUGGGUAUAAGCCUGGGAAACUGGGUCUAAUCCCCGAUAGGACUGCAGGGUGGUGCCUGUGGUGGAAAACGAUUUUCUAGUGGUUGGGGAUGAGCUCGCGGCCUAUCAGCUUGUUGGUGGGGUAAUGGCCUACCAAGGCGGCGACGGGUAGCCGGCCUGGGAGGGUGGACGGCCACAUUGGGACUGAGAUACGGCCCAGACUCCUACGGGAGGCAGCAGUGGGGAAUAUUGCACAAUGGGCGGAAGCCUGAUGCAGCGACGCCGCGUGGGGGAUGACGGCCUUCGGGUUGUAAACUCCUUUCGACCGCGAGGAAGCCACCUGGUUGGAAGGGUGGUGACGGUAGUGGUAGAAGAAGCACCGGCUAACUACGUG